Molecule: long non-coding RNA, 240 nt
Filed under: Capsella rubella
Lineage: Eukaryota; Viridiplantae; Streptophyta; Magnoliopsida; Brassicales; Brassicaceae
Description: long non-coding RNA (CRUB_LNC004598)
Source: RNAcentral
AAAUCUUACUUAAAUAAUUAUUGUGGAUUUAAAAUAACGUAUGAAGUGCUCUAAAUGGAAACUGAGAAUUUAAUACGACCCACAAUGAAAAAAAAAAUAAAGUUGACCUAAUUUUGAUUAGAGGCUAUAGCUACUUUGCUAAAAAGAAAUUAUUCUUGAUGAAGCAAUGGUUGUCUUAUGGAAUGUCAAAACCUUAAUAUUAAGAGAGAAAAAAAAUGAAAUUCGAGGCACGUAAUCCGC